GACGAACGCUGGCGGCGUGCCUAAUACAUGCAAGUAGAACGCACAGUUUAUACCGUAGCUUGCUACACCAUAGACUGUGAGUUGCGAACGGGUGAGUAACGCGUAGGUAACCUGCCAGGUAGCGGGGGAUAACUAUUGGAAACGAUAGCUAAUACCGCAUAAUAUUAAUUAUUGCAUGAUAAUUAAUUGAAAGGUGCAAUUGCACCACUACCAGAUGGACCUGCGUUGUAUUAGCUAGUAGGUGAGGUAACGGCUCACCUAGGCGACGAUACAUAGCCGACCUGAGAGGGUGAUCGGCCACACUGGGACUGAGACACGGCCCAGACUCCUACGGGAGGCAGCAGUAGGGAAUCUUCGGCAAUGGACGAAAGUCUGACCGAGCAACGCCGCGUGAGUGAAGAAGGUUUUCGGAUCGUAAAGCUCUGUUGUAAGAGAAGAACGGGUGUGAGAGUGGAAAGUUCACACUGUGACGGUAUCUUACCAGAAAGGGACGGCUAACUACGUG
This 505-nucleotide ribosomal RNA is filed under the name uncultured bacterium. Its description in RNAcentral is "partial 16S ribosomal RNA". It matches the Rfam family "Bacterial small subunit ribosomal RNA", at positions 28 to 507 of the family's 1533-position model. The record is from RNAcentral.